GUAGGUGGCAAGCGUUGUCCGGAAUUAUUGGGCGUAAAGCGCGCGCAGGCGGUUCUUUAAGUCUGAUGUGAAAGCCCACGGCUCAACCGUGGAGGGUCAUUGGAAACUGGAGAACUUGAGUACAGAAGAGGAAAGCGGAAUUCCACGUGUAGCGGUGAAAUGCGUAGAGAUGUGGAGGAACACCAGUGGCGAAGGCGGCUUUCUGGUCUGUAACUGACGCUGAGGCGCGAAAGCGUGGGGAGCAAACAGGGAUUAGAUACCCUGGUAGUCCACGCCGUAAACGAUGAGUGCUAAGUGUUAGGGGGGUUUCCGCCCCCGUUAGUGCUGCAGCUAACGCAUUAAGCACUCCGCCUGGGGAGUACGGCCGCAAGGCUG
This 375-nucleotide ribosomal RNA is filed under the name uncultured organism. RNAcentral describes it as "partial 16S ribosomal RNA". It matches the Rfam family "Bacterial small subunit ribosomal RNA", at positions 527 to 896 of the family's 1533-position model. The record is from RNAcentral.